Molecule: long non-coding RNA, 129 nt
Filed under: Monodelphis domestica (gray short-tailed opossum)
Lineage: Eukaryota; Metazoa; Chordata; Mammalia; Didelphimorphia; Didelphidae
Description: lncRNA (ENSMODG00000042580.1)
Source: RNAcentral
AGAUUGAAAUAGGAACAAUGAUAAAGAUGACCACAAUUUGCCGGACAUGUCGUAGGUGGUACAAAAUUCCUUAUGGCACUGGAUCUCAGGAACUAAAUUGAUGACUACACUGAAGACAAGGGGGACAGG